GAAAACGAAAUCAUUUCAUACGAACGAUUUUCAUCAUAUUACUCGUGAACUUGUUGUUAGCAAUCAUGUGAUGGCAUAUGGAUUUGUUUGUACCAAAAGAAAGUCCCCACCUAUAACCAGAGUCUCUUGGAGGGAGAGCGUGACAAGUGUGUAUAGAUCUAUACGGGGCUGACAACUCCGCACCCUGACUGUUAGCUACAGUCCGUCAUUGGGGUGACAAAUGUCAACAUUAGGUACUGCGUCUAGUAUGGUUAUGAGGAACUCACAACACGCGGAAACAAUGACUCAUGCACGUAGUAAUACAUAACUCAAUCAUGUUUGGGGGGUAAUAACUGCAUUCUUGGGUAUUAUCGGCAUGAUCAAAACUCAGGUCAAAACACUUCCACAACUAGUUUUACUUAACAAUAAGACUGCACUUCACUUUUAGGAAAAUAAGGGAUUUUCCUGUAUCAAAUACAUUCAUUUUGUACAAUACCGAUUUACAACAUCAUUUUUUUGAGCAUGUCAUAGUUUUUUAUAGCUUACGGUCUUGGUCAUUUGAGACUGCAUUUCACUUUUAGGAAAAUAAGGGAUUUUCCUAGGUCAAAUACAUAUAGUACAUACAACAAACUUUCAAACUCAUUUCAUACAUCAAGUAGAAAAUAAGGGAUUUUCUGGAAAACAUACACGCACUUUCGAAUGGCAUACAUUUUCUCAAAACACCACUUAUGAACUCACCAACUUAAAUGUUGACACUUUUUCUUUGAAAUAACUUGUAUUCUCAGGAAACCGCUGGACCAGGUAGCAACUACUUUUGAAGACUAACGCGCUGGUGUUAGUAACGUAUUUUGGAUCACCAUAUUGUAUUUGAUGUCUUUUGCAAACAUGUAACACAUACUAUUAUGUAAACUUUUCAAAUAUAUUUAUAUAUGGUGGUGUGUGCUUUCCUUUCUAUGAACUGUUAUGAUACUGAAUAUGACGUCAUCUGCCCCCGAACGUUUCCGCCGUUUUGGUUUGGGGGUGUGACAGAUUGGUAUCAGAGCAUUGUUUAUAGUGAAUUAAGUAUAUCAAAACCAUUUUGGUAUACAACUAUAAACACAACUGGGCAAAAACACUCUGAGUAAGAGUCAUACUUUUAAAAAUUAAAUUUAUUUAGUUUUUGUAAAGUAGGCAUGCAUUCAUUUCAUAUUAAUAACAUGGUCAGUAUCAUAAUUAAAACAAUAUAGAAGUAUUAUAAAUAAGUUGUGCAGUGCAGGUAUGCCUUGGGACAUGUAAUCGGAACUGGGAAGAAUAUAGCCUGAUCAACUAUAUUUGUCCAAGAGCCGACUAACGUAUGCCAAGGAGUGUCUGCAAUGGACAACAAAUUUAAAACUUACCAAACUUAUAAACUUUAGAAUCAAACAUAACAUUUAGAAUACUAUAGGAGUAUUUUAUGCAUACGAUAGUUUAACUUUGAUGUCAACCUUAUGUGCCUUAGUUCUAGACAAUCCUUAUCUCCCUAUUCUCGUACAAACACAAUGGCCGGAUUUCCACCUAGCAGGAGACCCCUACUACCCAAACCGUACAAUCAUUAAAAUACUUAUUGUCUUCAUUGUUAUUUCUUUGGCAGCGAUGCCGCCUCGUAGAUCUGCUUGUCGCAUCAACAACGCAACACCUACGCCGCCACCACCACCCCCACAAUAUGAUCCUGUCAUGGUUCAGGCUGCUAUCACUGCAGUAGUAGCAGCUGCUCUUACGCAGAUAAACACUAACGGAGCUGCUGGAACUGGAAGUAGUACCAACCACUUGAAUCAUGGCACUGGCCAUGGUUAUAUCAGAGAAUGCACAUACAAGGAAUUUUCAAAUGCAAAGCCAAAAACUUUCAACGGGGUAGGAGGAGUCAUUGCACUUAUGAAAUGGUUCGAGAAGACUGAAACGGUCUUCGAGAUAUGUGCAUGCCCAGAGACCAACAAAGUCAAGUUCGCCGCUUGCACUUUCUCUGAUCGAGCCCUCACCUGGUGGAAGGGACAUGUGGAAGUCCUAUCUCACCCAGUUGCUAAUGCCAUGAGCUGGGAAGAUCUCAAAAUCUUGAUGCUGGAAGAAUACUGCCCGAGGGGUGAAAUCCAAAAAUUAGAGCAUGAGCUAUGUAACCUAAGGAUGACCGGAUCGGACGUAAUCGCUUACACGGCUAGGUUCAGUGAUUUGUCAGCCUUGUGCCCAAGUAUGGUAAACCCGGAAUCGAAGAAGGUGGAGAGGUACAUUUGGGGAUUAUCACCCCAGAUCCAAGGGCAUGUCCUGGCCUCUAACCCAGUCACGUUUGACAGCGCGAAGCGCUUGGCUCAACGAUUGAUUGAUCACGGUGUUAAACAGGGUACUAUUACCGCUGUCUCGGAGCCACCGAAGGAUAUAGAGGACCGAAGGAAACCCUGGGAUAAGAGGAAGGGGGAAACCAUGCAAGAGAACCCCAAGAGGCAACAGUUAGUGACAGCUCAUUCUGUUACUAUCCCUACCACCCCUACACCCACAAGGUCGUACAACGGCAACCAGCCUAAGUGCAACCGAUGCAACUUUCAUCAUCACGGACCCUGUCGUGAAAUGCAUUGCAUUAGGUGCAAUAGUAAGGGACACACCGUCCGCUACUGCAGGGAAAUAGCCCAACCAACCGCUCCAGCCGCAAAUGUGGGAGUAGACCGUACUUGUUAUGAGUGCGGAGCAACGGGACACUUCCGACGGAACUGCCCGAAGGCAAACAACAAGAAUGCUAGUGGAGGAGGCCGAGUAUUCGCAAUGGGCCAAGAGGAGGCUAUUGCAGACCCCACGGUUAUUCUGGGUACAUUUCUCCUUGAUAACUUAUUUGCAUACAUUCCAUUUUGAUAGUAGGAACGCAGAAGAGUUCCGUGAGUCGCAAGUUUAAAAAUCUACUCGAAUAAACACCCCAAUCAUUAAACAAAACUUUCAUAGUAGUAAUAAUAGAGAUAGACUAAAAAGCACUGAGAACACAUACGUAGAAUGCACUAUCCCACUAACGAACGUCUUACAAUGAGAAGUACCGACGUCGGCAUUCGACGUGGAUUGGUGUGGCCCUACCCAUACCAGUAGACCCUUUCACUUUAACCAUCGACUAACGAAACUCGAUCGAUUUAUCACGACAAACCCGACACUAACCCCAAUUGGUUUCUAGUUUCAAAACCCCGAGGUACUCAUGUGAGGAGUACUAUAUCUUUACAACCUUCCCGUAGUAUCCCCCAACAGAUCAUUUAGAAAUACCACACAUACAACGAGUCAAAUCCAAGCUCAGAAACUAGGAGUGAAUUCAACCAUGAACUUCAAAACGUAGCUGCUCUAAUGCAUCGAGUGAUUAUGCUAACAUUUAGAAGAACAUAAGUAAAUAAACCCAAAACCACAUGAUCCCGAUCAGUCGAAGUGAUAGGCGGAGUAAUGAAGGUCCGCUGAAACACGCACAUUAGGAUCUAGAUUCAUAAAGGAACAAGAGGAACAAAUGGACCAUAAGCACUCACGCCUGCCCACAAGUAUUAGAGUCCCAGUCAAAAUGCGAAUUUCGGGACGAAAUUCUCUCUAACGGAGGGAUAAUGUAACAACAGCAAAAAUUCAGGUCAAAAUUUAAACUUUUAUAAAACCGUAAUUAAGUAUACUAAGUGGUAGAUAUUGUAACAAGGUUUUCAUACAUAUAAAGAACGCUAAAAUCCGAGUUAGAACGAAGAAGUUAUGACCAUUCUAGGUUUUCCGACAAAAACCGACAAUAUGAAGUUACGUAAAAACUCGAAUCGGAGAUCGAGCGACUUUUGGCCGGAAUGACCUAAACGAGAAUCAAAGGUCUCGUCAAUGGUAUUUCAGCAGUAAAAAGUCUAGCAAAAACCGACGUCAGAUAAAGAAGUUAUGAAUUUUUAAAGAAAUUCCUUAAUCACGUCAUUUUAAUAAAUAAAUAUUAAAAAUAAUUUCGGAAUUUGCCGACGGAGUCUAAACGAAAGUUGUAGAUCGUAAUCUCACCUUCGCAUGGAUAUAAAGAACGUCAAAAACGGAGUUCGUAUGAAGGAGAUAUGAAUUUUUGAAGUUUAUUUAAAAUAAAUAUAAAUUUAAAUAUAAACCUCCGGUAUUAUCCGAAGAACGAGUCAGCGGUCCGAUCCUUCGUACGCCCUGUGUACCCUCGUACGCCCCGCAUACUCAAAUCAAGGGCUCUGAACUGUCCACGUCGCUCCGAUGUUUCUUCCGAGGAUGCGGUAAGCCAUGACGUCUCGUACGCCCUGCGUACGAGCAUACGCCCGGCGUACGCGAGGCUUCCAGGCCCUAUAAAAGGGGUGCGAUGGUUUCCGAAAAACUUGCUCAUUUCUCCUCCUUUCUCUUGCGUUUUGCCUCGUUUUCCGUGCCCGUUCAAACCCGAAGCCCUGGUCAUUUUGCUCAAGUCCCUAAGGUCGAUUUUACUCCCGAGAUUCCCAAGAAUCCCGAGAAAAAUCCGUUUCCCAAGACGAAACUCUGCCCGGUUUUCUGCUCGCUUUCUUCAAACUUUCAAGUGAGUUCAUACCCCUGCAAACACACUUUAAAUACGUUUUUAAAUGCUUUUUAUACUCUUUUAGGGGGGGAAUACAAGUAAACACACGACUAAAAUCGUGUGAAAUAUCGAUCCUUUGAUAUAUUUUUCAUACUGUUGUUUUAACUGUCUUAUGAAGUUAUUAUCAUGCAAAACACCUCACAACACAGCUUUACCCUCUUGGGAUACAAUAUGUUUUAUAAAUAGAAAUAGGUUUUAUUUAUACGUUUGCAUACUACAUCAUAUCAAGAGUAACCAUUUCAAUUAUAACAUGAUGCUUUUACAAGAAAACUCAACUCAUCAUCACGUUUUUGUAACACGGUAGAAAACGAAAUCAUUUCAUACGAACGAUUUUCAUCAUAUUACUCGUGAACUUGUUGUUAGCAAUCAUGUGAUGGCAUAUGGAUUUGUUUGUACCAAAAGAAAGUCCCCACCUAUAACCAGAGUCUCUUGGAGGGAGAGCGUGACAAGUGUGUAUAGAUCUAUACGGGGCUGACAACUCCGCACCCUGACUGUUAGCUACAGUCCGUCAUUGGGGUGACAAAUGUCAACAUUAGGUACUGCGUCUAGUAUGGUUAUGAGGAACUCACAACACGCGGAAACAAUGACUCAUGGACGUAGUAAUACAUAACUCAAUCAUGCUUGGGGGGUAAUAACUACAUUCUAGGGUAUUAUCAGCAUGACCAAAACUCAGGUUAAAACACUUCCACAACUAGUUUUACUUAACAAUAAGACUGCACUUCACUUUUAGGAAAAUAAGGUAGUUUCCU
RNAcentral lists this long non-coding RNA (5274 nucleotides) under Lactuca sativa (garden lettuce). RNAcentral describes it as "long non-coding RNA (LSAT_LNC009532)". The record is from RNAcentral. Lineage: Eukaryota; Viridiplantae; Streptophyta; Magnoliopsida; Asterales; Asteraceae.